UAUAUGAGGUGUGUUCAGAAAGUAUCCAACUUUAUUUUUUUCUCACCAAAAUGAAUACCACGUGGGCAAAAUCCUUUGGGUGGAAGGCGAUGUCACUCUUCCUUGCAUAUGUGUGGAACUUUUUGCUCCAGUAGACCGUGUCAGUCUGUUCUGGUGCACACUUGUCGAAUUUUCGUUUUUGCACAAGACGGCCAAACGCAUCAAGUAGAAACCUUACAUCAGGUUUUGCCAAAAGCUUGGUGAUCCUCAAAUUCAAAGCAUCGAGAAGAUUCUGCAGGCCCUUGGCGGGGAUUCCAUUUGUGAAACUCAGAUCAAAGGGCGGUACCACUGCUUCAGAUGUGGCCACACUGCAGUAGAAUGCGAGGCAUGCUCAUGCAGGCCAUCCACAAACUGAAAUGAGGAGCUGAUUGAGGUUUAAUGAAUAGUCGUGAAUAGACAUCAGAAGCAGAUGCCUCAUUAUACUUUCUGAAGUAUGGCCAACUGAGACAAUGAAUAUUAUUUGACCAUCUUAUUCUUGGCGAACCCCUAGUUCUUGUACAGUCACAGGGUAGAGUCCUUGUACAUGUAAAAAAUCCAGGAAAUUAUUCAUGAAGUGAGAAUAAGCACAGGAUCAGUGCAUUUCCAUUUUAAUGGAGGAUUUGUACAUGUGGAGAGUAUCGGCUGAAAAAUAAGCCGGAUACUUUUUGAAUGCACCUUGUAAUCCAAGCUUAUCUGGUCGGGAACAACAUCCCACUUAUUUGACAGGUUUCUUACUUUCCUGACUUGGCACCAUGUGACUUCUGGCUCCUCUCCAAACUGAAAGGUCGAAGGGCAAAGUUGAUCUCGGGGAUUUGACCUGAGAGCAUAAAGAGCUAGAAGAACUGACCUUAAGUAUUUCAUCCGAUGCAGCAGUGAUUCUGCCUUAGGGUUAAUUGUGAGAAGAAAUUAUGAGAAAAGUGAUGGUAGAACUCCAUAGCUUUCCAGAGAUGGCCUUCCAGAGGUAUUUAUUACCAGCCGUGGAAGAAUCAUUGGGAGAAGUAUGUGAACUCCCAAAGGGGAGUAUUUUGAAAGUUAUUGAAUAAAAUUCGGGAAUUGUACAAAAUUGUUUUUUAACCCCAAAGGUUGGAUUCUUUUUGAAGGCAUCUUGUAUAUAUGUAUGUGUGUGUGUGUAUAUAUAUAUAUAUAUACGUAUAAGCACGUGGGUAUAUAUAUAUGUGUGUGUGUGUGUAUAUAUAUGUGUACACACAAAUGUAAUGUGUGUAUAUAUAGACAGGCUCGUAUACAGAUAUACACACACACACACACAUAUAUAUAUAUAUAAACACACAAGCAUCAAUACAUAUAUGUUGUGUGUGUGUGUAUAUAUAUAUAAUACCCACAUAUGUAUAAAUACAUAUACUAAAUGUAUAAUAUAUACCAUAUAAUUAUAUGUAUAUUAUUUAAUAUAUCCAUCAUUUAUAUGGUAUGUAUUUUAUACAUGCAUAUAUAUAUUUCUUCUGUGUACAUCCUAUUUAUACAUAUAUAUAUGUGUAUGCUAUAUAUAUAUACUUAUAUUUGAUAAAUAGUGUAUGAUAUAUACACAUGUAUGUGUGUGUAUAAAUUGAUAUAUAAUAUAUAUAUAUAUGCAUAUAUAUAUAUAAAUAUGUUUUAUGUAUGUAUAUAUACAUAUAUAUAUAUGCAUAUACAUACAUGCAUUUAUACAUACAUAUACAUAAUCUUGUGGUUGACAUCAAAGAGAUAUGUUUACGAACGUAUUCAUUUUUCUCUCCAUUUUUUUUUUGGUCCGACACUAAAAAAAAAAACAACAAAAUAAUUAAAUAAAAAUAAUAAAAAACCUGUAAAGUAUUAAGG
Molecule: long non-coding RNA, 1830 nt
Filed under: Octopus vulgaris (common octopus)
Lineage: Eukaryota; Metazoa; Mollusca; Cephalopoda; Octopoda; Octopodidae
Source: RNAcentral